CAGAGCCAAGGCAGAAAGCCAAGUUUCAUUUACCUACUCAACACAUAUUAAUCAAGCUCUAUCCUGGGUUCCGCUGUCAACUUACACUAACAACGGAGAAGACAGCUUUCAGCAGACUUGAGUUUGAGAAUAAGAGACAUGGGGUUGCUGUCUAUGAUGCACAGAAUGCUCACCCAGCAAGUAACUAUUUUAGCAGCAACUUGCUUUAUGGUCAUGGAGUGGGGCAAUCAGAAGGAAGUGCCCUCUUUUUUUUGGACGGAGGUACAACAGUGUGGACCCUCACACGAGCAAGCCCAGAAGCGUGUGUGUCCAACAUCUUAACCUUUGAACGUGGGAGGAACACACGGAGCUCACUAAAACUGCAUGCAUGCUUCUGCGGUCUGCAGUGCUAAUAAACAUCUGGAAUCCAGUGGCCAUCACUCUGAGCACCUCUUGGAAUUGCAGAGGCCAAAGUUAACUUGUAUUAAUCUCAUGAUGUUUCAAUAAAUUUAGUAUUAAAUAUUAAUACAAA
RNAcentral lists this long non-coding RNA (511 nucleotides) under Cavia porcellus (domestic guinea pig). RNAcentral describes it as "lncRNA (ENSCPOG00000039790.1)". The record is from RNAcentral. Lineage: Eukaryota; Metazoa; Chordata; Mammalia; Rodentia; Caviidae.